Molecule: ribosomal RNA, 468 nt
Filed under: uncultured bacterium
Lineage: Bacteria
Description: partial 16S ribosomal RNA
Rfam family: Bacterial small subunit ribosomal RNA
Source: RNAcentral
GACGAACGCUGGCGGCGUGCUUAACACAUGCAAGUCGAACGGAAAGGCCCUGCUUUUGUGGGGUGCUCGAGUGGCGAACGGGUAAGUAACACGUGAGUAACCUGCCCUUGACUUUGGGAUAACUUCAGGAAACUGGGGCUAAUACCGGAUAGGAGCUCCUGCUGCAUGGUGGGGGUUGGAAAGUUUCGGCGGUUGGGGAUGGACUCGCGGCUUAUCAGCUUGUUGGUGGGGUAGUGGCUUACCAAGGCUUUGACGGGUAGCCGGCCUGAGAGGGUGACCGGCCACAUUGGGACUGGGAUACGGCCCAGACUCCUACGGGAGGCAGCAGUGGGGAAUAUUGCACAAUGGGCGGAAGCCUGAUGCAGCAACGCCGCGUGCGGGAUGACGGCCUUCGGGUUGUAAACCGCUUUCGCCUGUGACGAAGCGUGAGUGACGGUAAUGGGUAAAGAAGCACCGGCUAACUACGUG